Molecule: ribosomal RNA, 951 nt
Filed under: Vibrio vulnificus
Lineage: Bacteria; Pseudomonadati; Pseudomonadota; Gammaproteobacteria; Vibrionales; Vibrionaceae
Description: partial 23S ribosomal RNA
Rfam family: Bacterial large subunit ribosomal RNA
Source: RNAcentral
ACAAGCAGUAGGAGCACCUUCGUGGUGUGACUGCGUACCUUUUGUAUAAUGGGUCAGCGACUUAUAUUCAGUGGCAAGGUUAACCAUCUAGGGGAGCCGUAGGGAAACCGAGUCUUAACUGGGCGCCAUAGUCUCUGGAUAUAGACCCGAAACCGAGUGAUCUAGCCAUGGGCAGGUUGAAGGUUGAGUAACAUCAACUGGAGGACCGAACCGACUAAUGUUGAAAAAUUAGCGGAUGACUUGUGGCUAGGGGUGAAAGGCCAAUCAAACUCGGAGAUAGCUGGUUCUCCCCGAAAGCUAUUUAGGUAGCGCCUCGGACGAAUACUACUGGGGGUAGAGCACUGUUAAGGCUAGGGGGUCAUCCCGACUUACCAACCCUUUGCAAACUCCGAAUACCAGUAAGUACUAUCCGGGAGACACACGGCGGGUGCUAACGUCCGUCGUGGAGAGGGAAACAACCCAGACCGCCAGCUAAGGUCCCAAAUUACAGCUAAGUGGGAAACGAUGUGGGAAGGCUUAGACAGCUAGGAUGUUGGCUUAGAAGCAGCCAUCAUUUAAAGAAAGCGUAAUAGCUCACUAGUCGAGUCGGCCUGCGCGGAAGAUGUAACGGGGCUAAGUUGUAAACCGAAGCUGCGGCAAUGUUCUUUGAACAUUGGGUAGGGGAGCGUUCUGUAAGCCGUUGAAGGUGUGUUGUAAAGCAUGCUGGAGGUAUCAGAAGUGCGAAUGCUGACAUGAGUAACGACAAGGGGGGUGAAAAACCUCCCCGCCGGAAGACCAAGGGUUCCUGUCCAACGUUAAUCGGGGCAGGGUAAGUCGACCCCUAAGGCGAGGCCGAAAGGCGUAGUCGAUGGGAAACGGGUUAAUAUUCCCGUACUUCUUACAAUUGCGAUGGGGGGACGGAGAAGGCUAGGUGGGCCUGGCGACGGUUGUCCAGGUUCAAGUGCGUAGGCU